Cryptomeria japonica (Japanese cedar) is the source of this 603-nucleotide long non-coding RNA. RefSeq lists it as uncharacterized. Lineage: Eukaryota; Viridiplantae; Streptophyta; Pinopsida; Cupressales; Cupressaceae. The transcript is spliced from 3 exons. The record is from RefSeq and is a predicted model, not a curated record.
UUCAUCAAGGAGAGUAUUAAGUUGCUCAAUGGUACGUUUUUGGGAUUUUUAGAUACAUGAUGUUUUUUUCCACCAUUACCCACUACACUUCAUCGUUAUCUACUACACGCAAUGUUUUAUCUGCUCUAAAACCUCUCCCAUGAGUACGGACCAAACAAUGUGACCUGCAAACUUCUGGGGUUCUCAUUUAGUGCAGUGGUACAACGCCUGUAAGGGAAAUGAAAGGUGGAUGUUGGAAAAAGGACAUUGCACAGUCAGAAAUAGAGAUGUCUAAGGUCCCAGAUCAGCCAGAAACAUGGAUGUGCUUCUUCAAGAAACACCAGAUGCUGAAUAGCCUUACGACUUCCAGGAGUAAGUUGGAACCUAGGGUGGGAGGAUGUAGUACCCCUGCCCUAAUCAUAUUUUUUAAUCCAGUUUGACCUUGGUUGACUUUUUAAGUGUCUUUCUUGGAUGGUUGAUUUACCAUGUUGUAAUGUUAUAGUCAGGUAUUAUGAUUAUUGUGUAGACUUGUAAAUAUUGUUUUCGCAUCGAUUCUUAUGUUAGAUUAGUUGUUCUUUUGAUUCGUGUUAUUAACCUCGGUCUAACACUUUCAUUGAAUAUAUA